Molecule: RNA transcript, 4831 nt
Organism: Vicia villosa (hairy vetch)
Lineage: Eukaryota; Viridiplantae; Streptophyta; Magnoliopsida; Fabales; Fabaceae
Gene name: sodium/hydrogen exchanger 8-like
Exons: 27
Source: RefSeq, a predicted model, not a curated record
UCUGCUUCCACAAAAAACCCUUCUUUGGAAUUUGAAUGGAAGUGUUGUUGUUGACGGAAGAAUCGCUGGCUGCGUACAAAAUCAUGGAGGAACAAGUAUCACAUUCCUCUUCCCUUUCUGUUUCUGCUCCUUCCUCUUCCGAGAACCUCCAUGCAAACCCUUCCGACGCCGUUAUUUUCUUCGGUCUCAGUCUUGCUCUUGGAGUCGCAUGCAGACACCUUUUACGCGGGACCAAAGUCCCCUACACCGUUGCUUUGCUCAUCCUUGGCAUUGCUCUUGGAUCAUUAGAGUAUGGUACUCAUCAUCGGCUCGGAAAAAUUGGGGAUGGAAUUCGUCUCUGGUCGGAGAUUGAUCCAGAGCUUCUGUUGGCUGUUUUUCUUCCUGCACUCCUUUUCGAGAGCGCUUUCACGAUGGAAGUUCACCAAAUUAAGAGAUGUAUUGCACAAAUGAUGUUACUAGCUGGUCCAGGUGUUGUGAUUUCGACCAUUUUUCUUGGAACUGUUUUGAAGCUUACUUUUCCAUAUAACUGGAGUUGGAAAACAUCACUGUUGCUUGGGGGACUUCUGAGUGCAACUGAUCCUGUUGCUGUUGUGGCUGUGUUGAAAGACCUGGGUGCCAGCAAAAAAUUAAGCACAAUAAUUGAUGGAGAAUCCUUGAUGAAUGAUGGGGUGGCUAUUGUGGUUUAUACCCUUUUCUAUCGGAUGGUUCUUGGAGAAACCUUCAACUGGGUUGCCAUAAUCAAAUUUCUAGUACAACUUUCACUUGGAGCUGUAGGAAUUGGCAUUGCUUUUGGGAUUGCAUCUGUUUUAUGGCUUUGGUUUAUUUUUAAUGAUACAGUGAUUGAGAUUUCUCUAACACUUGCUGUUAGCUACAUUGCCUACUACACUGCUCAAGAGAGUGCGGGUGUUUCUGGUAUUUUGACAGUGAUGUCAUUGGGAAUGUUCUAUGCUGCAUUUGCAAGGACAGCUUUUAAGCGUGAAAGUCAGCGAAGCUUACAUCACUUUUGGGAAAUGAUUGCUUAUAUCGCUAAUACAUUAAUUUUCAUUUUGAGUGGAGUUGUUAUAGCUGAAGGAAUACUUAGUGAAGACAAGGUUUUCUAUCAUGGAAAAUCAUGGGUCUUCCUCAUACUUCUCUAUGCAUAUGUUCAAGUGGCUCGAUGCAUUGCAAUUGGAGCAUUAUUUCCCUUUCUAAGAUACUUUGGAUAUGGUUUGGAUUGGAAAGAAGCUAUUAUUCUUGUCUGGUCAGGGUUACGAGGAGCAGUUUCACUGUCACUUGCACUAUCGGUUAAGCGUUCGAGUGGCAGAUCAAUUGAACUGACUCCAGAAACGGGAAUAAUGUUUGUUUUCUUCACCGGUGGAAUUGUGUUUUUAACACUUGUAGUAAAUGGUUCAACCACACAGUUCUUAUUAGACCUCCUUCGCAUGAAUAAGUUAUCAUCAGCUAAGAGACGUAUCCUUGAGUUUACAAAGUAUGAAAUGGUUAACAAAGCAUUAGAAGCCUUUCGUAAACUUGGAGAUGAUGAGGAACUCGGACCAACUGACUGGCCCACAGUGAAGAGAUAUAUUUCAUGCAUAAAUGACAUUGAAGGUGAACGUGUUCAUCCGCAUGGUGCAUCUGAAAGUGAUAGUUAUGUAGAUUCUAUGAAUUUGAAAGACAUACGAGUACGCCUUCUGAAUGGUGUCCAAGCUGCUUACUGGGAAAUGCUUGAUGAAGGGAGAAUCACCCAAACAACAGCUAAUAUCCUAAUGCUAUCAGUGGAGGAAUCAAUAGAUUUGGCUUCAUCUGAGCCCCUAUGUGACUGGAAAAGUUUAAAAGCUAAUGUUAGCAUCCCAAAUUACUACAAGUUCCUCCAGUCAAGUAUGUUCCCACCUAAAUUAGUUACAUACUUCACUGUGGAAAGGUUGGAGUCAGCAUGUUAUAUAUGUGCUGCAUUUCUCCGUGCCCACAAAAUUGCUCGACAACAAUUACACGAUUUCAUAGGUGAUAGUGGCGUUGCUUCUGCUGUCAUCAAUGAAAGCGUUGUGGAGGGAGAAGAAGCACGAAAGUUCCUAGAACAUGUUAAUUUAACAUACCCACAGGUUUUACGUGUUGUAAAGACAAGGCAAGCAACGUAUGUAGUGUUAAAUCAUUUGCUUGAAUAUGUUCAAAACCUUGAGAAAGCUGGGAUAUUGGAAAAGAAAGAGAUGCUACAUCUUCAUGAUGCAGUUCAGACUGAUUUAAAGAAAUUACUCAGAAACCCUCCUUUGGCUAAGCUGCCUAAUAUAUAUCCUAUGUUGGAUGCUCUGCCAUCUUCAGUCCGUGGACCCCUUGUAAGCGGUACAAAGGAAACAAUGAAAUUGCGUGGCUUGACCCUUUAUAAGGAAGGUGCCAAAUCGAGUGGUAUUUGGUUAAUUUCUAAUGGAGUGGUGAAGUUGGAAAGCAAGAUGAUUCAAAGCAAGCACCCAUUUUAUCCAACUUUUACUCAUGGGAGCACACUGGGUCUUUAUGAAGUGCUGUGUGGAAGAGCGUAUAUUUGUAAUGUUGUCACAGACUCGGCCGUAACCUGCCUUUUUGUUGAAGCAAGUAAAAUAAUUUCAUGUCUCAAAUCUGACCCUUCACUGGAAGGCUUCCUGUGGCAGGAAAGUGCUAUUUUCCUUUCCAAACUAUUGCUUCCCCAGAUAUUUGAGAAACUAACGGUGAAAGAUUUAAGAGCUCUCAUUGCUGAAAGAUCUGAAAUGACAAUGUAUGUCAGAGAGGAAACAAUUGAUAUCCCCUAUCAUUCAGUUGCCUUCUUACUAGAAGGAUAUGUCAAAACUCAAGGUUGUCAAGAGCUGAUAACCGCACCAGCGGCUCUGGUUCCUUCAAGUGGGAAUCGAAGCUUCCAAAAUUUGUCAGUGUCAGGUACUCAGGAAGCCAGUUUUAUUCAUCAAGGAUCGUGUUAUCUGGUUGAAACUAGAGCAAGGGUAAUUGUGCUUGACAUUGCUGCAUUUGAGACCGAUGCUGCUCUUGUUAAAAAGUCAAGUUCACGGUUAUCACAUGUCGCGGAUAAUCCUCAUAGAUCUUUCCAAAUAGAACAUAGCGGUCUUAUGAGUUGGCCUGAAAAUUUCUACAGGCAGAAUCUGCAUAAACAGAGCCCUGAACAGCAAACCAAUAGUUUGUCUGCAAGGGCAAUGCAGCUGAGCAUUUAUGGGAGCAUGGACAUCCCUCGCCCGGGUAUAGGUUUGUCAGCCAAUCGCACUAGACCAUCACAUCGAAGUUUGUCAUAUCCAACCUUUAUGCCACACGAAGCUCGUCCACUUGUUUCAGUCAAAUCAGAAGGAGCAGCAACUGACAAAAAGAAUGUUGGAGUGAAGUGGAUUACGCAAGAUGUUACAAACCUUCCUUCACAAAGCACGUAUCAUAGAGUACAUCAUGAAGAUGAUUCAAGUGACGAUUCUGCUGUUGAAGAAGAUAUUCUUGUGCGGAUUGAUUCCCCAAGCACGCUAUCUUUUCGCCAGUCUUGAGGGGAAAGAGUUAAUCUAUAAUAUAAGAAAGUUCUAUCUUUUUGAACUUUCUAUGUGGUUCUGCCAAGUGGCUUCAUGUGAGAAGAGAAUUUUAUCCUUCAACUUUGUUUCUAGAGCCUCCACAUUGCUGCUGAUUUCUCAACUUCUCUCCCUCCACCUUCCACCAAUUACUAAUAUUUACUUCCCUCAACCUUCCACUUUCCAACAAUUACACAUGCUGACUCUUUUGUUUCAACUGCUCCACUUUGGCUGAUUGCGGUUACAUAAUUUUCCCAAACAUCAUAUCAUAUGUAAGAAAACACUCCUUAUGCUAAAGUACCACACCAAUUAGUCAGUAGGAAAAAGAAAAUUUACCGAUGGGAAAAACGAUGGUGGAAACGCAACAGUGGGGUAGAGGUCCUCAGUAAUGGCCGAAAGUUGAUGGCGACAGGAGGAGGCUUCGUCGGCGUUGUUGUGUCGGAUGAAAAUCGGAGGGACAACAAAGACAACUGAAGUUAGAGCAUCCUCAUUAUAGCAUAGCAUGUUAUAUAAUAUGAAAUUACACGAUCAUGGCAAUGGCAGGGAAGUUGUUUAAGUGAGGCUGAGAAAUUGUUGUCUACAACCUUUGGGUCUGAAUCUGGUGUCAAUGCUAUCUUUACUAAUGGAAGGGAAAUCUUAAUAAUACUCUGGGACUUAUGAAAAAGAACUGUUGAUCAACUCUGAGUGGAUUUCACUACUGCUGCAGAAGUAAAUACCUUCAAGGAAAAUGUAGUGUGACUGGUAAAGUCUCUAGCAAACUAAUAUUAUUGCAAAGUGGUGGUUAUUUUCUAUUGGUUAUGAUAUUCAUAUUUGUUGAAGAAGAAGAUGUCGAAAGAGAAGAUUCAAACGCCUUACAUAAUAAUGGUGAUCAGCAACUGGUUUAAACCAAUUGGUGAUGGUGUUGUUGGUUUGUCGAAUCAUGGAGGUGGAACCGGUAUCAGUUCGUUCAUGCAACAAGGGAGUAAUAGUUAUGAGUUGAACUUUCCCUGGGAAGAAGCCCUUCUUGUGGCCAUCACAGAACUGAGACAGAGGGGUAUAUUGGAUAUUUGAGUAGGGAUUCAAUUGUUAGGGCGCUCCGGCUGCUUCUUCGAUGAAUCGAGACAGUGCUUCUGAUUCCUCUCCAUUCUAUUGCACGGGUUGUGCCUCACAGAGACUUUGGGUGAGAUGAUUGAGAAUGAAACUCUUUGUCCCAAACUAGCGAUUCAGCUUCUCCUUCAGUUCUCCAUCGUGUUCAUGUAUGUUUCGAUGCUGAAAAUAGUUCGAUCUGUGUAUGUUUAGUUUCCUGUUUAUAAUUUUUCACUGAUUCAAAAUUGAGUCCUUUUUCUACCUUG